GAUCAUGGCUCAGGACGAACGCUGGCGGCGUGCCUAACACAUGCAAGUCGAACGGAGAUGUUUAUUUCGGUAGAUAUCUUAGUGGCGCACGGGUGAGUAACGCGUGAAUAACCUGGCCCGAAGAGGGGGAUAACACCUGGAAACAAGUGCUAAUACCGCAUAAGACCACGGACCGGCAUCGGUCAGAGGUCAAAGGAGGAAUCCGCUUUGGGAGGGGUUCGCGUCCCAUUAGGUAGUUGGUGAGGUAACGGCCCACCAAG
This 260-nucleotide ribosomal RNA is filed under the name uncultured bacterium. Its description in RNAcentral is "partial 16S ribosomal RNA". It matches the Rfam family "Bacterial small subunit ribosomal RNA", at positions 15 to 272 of the family's 1533-position model. The record is from RNAcentral.